This is a small nucleolar RNA of Cololabis saira (Pacific saury), 182 nucleotides long. RefSeq annotates it as small nucleolar RNA SNORA23. The transcript has a single exon. The record is from RefSeq and is a predicted model, not a curated record. NCBI's taxonomy places the organism in Eukaryota, Metazoa, Chordata, Actinopteri, Beloniformes, Belonidae.
GGUGAACGGUGCGCACGGUAUUGGUCUGUGUUAUGUGCUGUUGCUGGACUGUGUUUUGCAGACUUGGCUUCAGCGCUCGCACCAAUCCUGCAGCCACAGAACAACUGGAGAUCAUAGUACUGACCUUUGACGUCUUAAACGGACAUCUCACCAUCGGUCAGCCUCCAAAUGCUCCAACAUAA